This is an RNA transcript of Brassica oleracea var. oleracea, 3582 nucleotides long. It is a transcript of the gene named calcium-transporting ATPase 8, plasma membrane-type-like, with no coding region annotated. Lineage: Eukaryota; Viridiplantae; Streptophyta; Magnoliopsida; Brassicales; Brassicaceae. The transcript is spliced from 35 exons. The record is from RefSeq and is a predicted model, not a curated record.
ACGAUUUGAAGAUGCAUCCAUCCCACGUAUCCCCACCCCCAUAUAACUAACUAACUCAACUCCCUCCGUUACGCACACACACACUCUCUCUCUGUAAUCACCAUUCUCCGAUGAAAUCACCUCAGCGCAGUUCUGAUGAUUUGGAAGCCGGCGGCGAUGCUCCCAAGUCCCGGAACCACUCUCGCCGCCGCGGCAGAGGUAUUUUUGUUGCGGUUGAUGCUUCUAUACGUUUUAAGUCUGCUAUGGGUUGCGAAAAGGAAAUUGAGCUCGGAUCUCAUGAUCAACCUACUGCAAAGGAUGUUAAACUAUCUCAGUUAGAGGAACAACCAGUACAAGUUGAAAUUGAACUCCCAGCCUCGUAUCCAGAUGAAUUUGGUAUCAGAUUGGAGGAACUUGUUUCUAUAUCCUGUGAUGGUGGUCUAAGUGUUUUAAAGCGAUUUGAUGGGGUUAGCGGAUUAUCACCUCUGUUGCACACCGAUCUAGACAAGGGUAUCUGUGGUACUCAUGAAGACAUACGGAGACGAAGGAACAAAUUUGGAUCCAACGAAUAUCCUUUGAAGAAAGAAAGGAACUUUUGGAUGUUUCUCGGGGAAGCAAGCAGAAGUUUUACUUUGAUCGUGUUGGUUCUUGCUGCACUGGCUUCUCUGCUGCUGCAAAUAAAAACUAAGACUAUCAGUCAUGAAUGGUAUGACGAAGCUGGCAUCAUUGUUGCAGUUAUCCUUGUCAUCUUUGUGACAGCUAUCAGUAAUUACAACCAGUCUCUUCAGUUUGAAAAGUUGAAUGAUGAGAAGAGAAAUAUAUGUAUCGAGGUUACUAGAAAUGGAAGACUGGUCGAAGUUCCGAUUUAUGAUGUAGUUGUUGGCGAUAUUAUACCUCUUAAAAGUGGUGACCAGGUGCCUGCAGAUGGUGUCUUAGUUUCUGGGUACUCGCUUCAGAUAGGUGAAUAUGAAACCAUGGGAACUAACAGAACGGUUCACAAAGAUACAGAUAUAGACCCAAUUCUAAUAUCCGGAUCUAAAGUGGAAGAUGGCAUCGGUAGAAUGCUGGUUACUAGUGUCGGGAUGAACACCCAAUGGAGGAUGCCGAUGGCUUGUAUUCCACUAUAUACUGGUGAAGAGACACCGUUGCAGGUGCACCUGAACCGAGUUGUUAUUGCGUUUGGCCUAAUCAGUAUCUCGGUUGCUUUGGUUGUUUUUCUUAUCGAGUCAUGCCUAUGCUUCAUGGGCCGAACCAAAAAUACAGAUGGUAGUCCGAUGUUUGAUGCUGGGAAAACUACGUUGGAUGAAAAAAUAGACAUGGUGAUUAAGUUUAUAAUUUUGGGGGUUACCAUUAUAGUCGUGGCCGUGCCUGAAGGACUUCCAUUGGCUGUUACUUUGAACAUUGCCUAUAUGACGAGAAAACUUCUAGGAGAGAAGGUUUUGGUGCAAAAGCUCUCUGCCUGUGAAGCAAUGGGGUCUGCAACAACUAUUGUAUGCCACAAGACCGGGAUUUUAACCUUAAAUCAGAUGGAGGUUGUUGAUGUUUGUGCCGGACGAGUAAGAACGCAUAAUUUGGAUACUAUGGCAGCAGAGUUGUCUCCCCUUCUAAUCUCGUUGAUCACCGAAGGAAUUGCCCUGAACACGAAUGGGAGUGUAUAUCAUCCUGAGGGACAGUCUGAACCAGAGGUCUUUGGAUCAGCAACAGAACGUGCCAUUCUUAAUUUCGGUGUCAAGCAGUUAGGAAUGAAUUUUGACGAAAUAAAGUCAAAAUCAACAAUUUUUCGCGUUUCACCUUUCAAUUCAAGGAGAAAACGUAGAGGUGUUGCAGUCCAAUUGCAUGAUUCUCAAGUCCGUGUUCAUUGGAAAGGUGCUGCCAAGACUAUUCUAGCUUCUUGCCAGUGGUACAUGGACAAGGACAACAUAGCAGCUAUGGACCAAGAAAAAAGGUUUUAUUUUGAAAAAACCAUUGAUGAAAUGUCCAAAGAAGGAUUGCGCUGUGCUGCCCUUGCCUACCGAAAAUUUACUGACGGAGACAUACCUGAAAGCAACCUCGUUCUAUUGGCUAUCAUUGGUAUAAAGGAUUCUUGUCGGCCAGGCAUAAGUCGGGCAAUCCAACAAUGUCGUAAUGCUGGAGUAAAGGUGUGCAUGGUGACAGGCGACGACCUUCUGACUGCCAAAGCAAUAGCGAUGCAGUGCGGGAUACUGAGAGGAACCUUAGACGAGCCUGCGAAUACAGCAAUCUUAGCAAGCGAAUUUGCUUCGAUGUCAGAAGCAGACAGAGAAGAAAUUGCUGAAAAUAUUGUAGUGAUGGGUCGAUCUUCUCCUGAUGAAAACCUUCUUCUACUUGAAGCACUGAGAAAGAAGGGACACGUGGUUGCAGCAACUGGAAAGGGAAUCCGUGAUGCUCCGAGCCUGCGCCAGGCGAAUAUCAGUCUUGCAAUGGGCAUUGGGGGGACUGCAAUUGUUAAAGAAUGCUCUGAUAUCAUUAUAUUGGAGGACAAUUUUACUUCGAUUGUCAAGGUCAUCCAAUGGGGACGUUUUUUAUACACAAAUGCUCAAAGAUUUCUCCAGUUCCGGCUAACUGUCAACGCAUCAGCUCUAAUUAUAUGUGUUGUUGUGGCGGUUCAUUCUCAUGAAAUUCCCCUAAACGUUGCGCAGCUUCUGUGGAUUAAUCUUCUCACUUUUACUUUUGGAGCAUGGGCCUUGGCAUCAGAACCACCAAUGGACAACUUAAUGCGAAGGCCUCCGGUUCGUAAAGGUGGAGCCAAGAGGAUAACUUGGUUUUGCUCCUACUUAUGUGAAUUUCUGAAGUGGAUGGAGAGAAAGAAGUCCAAGAAAUUCCCUAUAAGUAGGAGCAGAACCAAAGAACCCUUUAUAACCAAACUCAUGUGGGCGAAGUUUGUUGCACAGGUUUCUUUCCAAGUGAGUGCAUUGCUUUACCUAAACUUUCGUGGAGAGAGUAUACUAAAACUGGAGAACAAAAGUCUAGAUCAAGCUAACAAAGUCAAGAACACAGUUAUAUUCAAUUGCUUUGUCUUCUGCCAAGUAUUUAACGAGGUUGAAUGUCGAACUUCAUACCAAGGAAAUACAUUCAGCGGGAUCCUAAAGAACCAUUUGUUCCUUGGAACAAUUCUUUUAAAUGUUAUACUUCAGAUAAUCGUCAUAGAAUGCCUUGGCAUAUUCUUUUACACAGCCAGGCUUAACUUGAAGCAGUGGCUGAUCUCGAUUGGAAUCGGUUUUUUCAGUCAAGUCAUUGGUCGUUUUCCUUUCCAAGCAUUUCCUUACCUCCGGAACGAAGAUCAUAUAUAAGACAUAAAGGCUGAUAAAGAGCUGGAGAUGCUGUUAUCGAAAGAGAUUGAAGGAGAAUAACUCGGAAGCUGACGUGGACAAGAGUGAAGAAUAAGAAGCUUAACGGUUCUACGUGGGAAGUCGUUAGGGACUUUAGAAGUUAGUUCGGUUCGAGUUGUAAUUCAAGCUAUAAAUAGUGGCCUUAGAGUUUAUAGAUCUUCGGCUUUGUAUUGUGAAUUUUGGGUCUUUGGUUUGUAACAUUAAGAAGUGUUAUACAGUUCGUGUUUAUACGUAUUGAAUACAUUGUGCUAUAUCA